UAGAUACGAAGAACACCAUCUAAGCAGA
RNAcentral lists this non-coding RNA (28 nucleotides) under Bombyx mori (domestic silkworm). Lineage: Eukaryota; Metazoa; Arthropoda; Insecta; Lepidoptera; Bombycidae. The record is from RNAcentral.